Molecule: ribosomal RNA, 900 nt
Filed under: Adenocystis utricularis
Lineage: Eukaryota; Phaeophyceae; Ectocarpales; Adenocystaceae
Description: LSU rRNA
Rfam family: Eukaryotic large subunit ribosomal RNA
Source: RNAcentral
ACUAACCAGGAUUCCCCCAGUAACGGCGAGUGAAGCGGGAAGAGCUCACGUUGUAAAUCUGACUUCGGUCCGAAUUGUAGUCUGGAGAGGCGUGACCAGCUGGAGUCGGGGGCGAAGUCUCUUGGAAAAGAGCAUCAAGGAGGGUGACAAUCCCGUUCUUGCCCCCGCGCUCCACGCGUACGGUCCGUUUUCUACGAGUCGAGUUGCUUGGGAUUGCAGCUCAAAGCGGGUGGUAAAUUCCAUCUAAAGCUAAACACGGGUGGGAGACCGAUAGCGAACAAGUACCGUGAGGGAAAGAUGCAAAGAACUUUGAAAAGAGAGUUAAAGAGUGCCUGAAAUUGCUGAAAGGGAAGCGAAGGAAACCAGUGUCUGGCGGUUCCGCUUCUCCUUGGCCCCUCGGGGCCUUGGUUUGCGUUUCCGCCGUGGCCAGGGCCGGGUAGUGUUGCGGGAGCCUGCGCUUCGGAAGGUAGCAUCUCUUCGGAGUGUGAAGACCGUGGCGUGUCGUCGCGACGCUGGCCGGUUCUGACGAAAUGGUUUUCUUUACCCCGUCUUGAAACACGGACCAAGGAGUCUAACAUGCCCGCGAGUACAGGGGUGUUCAAACCCCCGUGCGCAGUGAAAGUGAAUGCAGGUGGGAAGCCGCAAGGUGGCACCAUCGACCGACCGUGUCUCUUCGGGGGCGAGGUUUGAGUGUGAGCGUGCAUGUUGGGACCCGAAAGAUGGUGAACUAUGCCUGAAUAGGGCGAAGCCAGGGGAAACUCUGGUGGAGGCUCGUAGCGAUUCUGACGUGCAAAUCGAUCGUGAGAUUUGGGUAUAGGGGCGAAAGACUAAUCGAACCAUCUAGUAGCUGGUUCCCUCCGAAAUUUCCCUCAGAUAGCUGCAACCUGCGUUCAGUUUUAU